CACACACACACACACACACACACACACACACACACAUUAAGUUAUGGCCAAUUUUGAGCCUUCAAUGAACCUGACUUGCGUGCAACAUGCAAACUCCACCCCAAAUCUUGGCAGUGUGAGGCAGAAGUGAAAACUAAUGCAGUGCACUUUCCCAGGUUCUCUCUCAUUUUGGCCAAGUAUUAUAGUAUGGUUCCCACUCAAACCGGGAGACACUACUUCAUUACUUGACUAACCAACACACCAAGAAGAAAAAUGCUCUACUUGCUCGGGAUAGUUGUUGGCCUUCUUGUCAUCAUUAUCUGCUUCUCAAAAGGACUUACAGAGGCAAGU
Molecule: long non-coding RNA, 330 nt
Organism: Syngnathoides biaculeatus (alligator pipefish)
Lineage: Eukaryota; Metazoa; Chordata; Actinopteri; Syngnathiformes; Syngnathidae
Exons: 3
Source: RefSeq, a predicted model, not a curated record